This 511-nucleotide ribosomal RNA is filed under the name Candida albicans. Its description in RNAcentral is "eukaryotic LSU rRNA". The stretch from base 143 to 296 matches the Rfam family "5.8S ribosomal RNA". The record is from RNAcentral. Lineage: Eukaryota; Fungi; Ascomycota; Pichiomycetes; Serinales; Debaryomycetaceae.
GGGGUUCGACUGCUUAUUGCACCACAUGUGUUUUUCUUUGAAACAAACUUGCUUUGGCGGUGGGCCCAGCCUGCCGCCAGAGGUCUAAACUUACAACCAAUUUUUUAUCAACUUGUCACACCAGAUUAUUACUAAUAGUCAAAACUUUCAACAACGGAUCUCUUGGUUCUCGCAUCGAUGAAGAACGCAGCGAAAUGCGAUACGUAAUAUGAAUUGCAGAUAUUCGUGAAUCAUCGAAUCUUUGAACGCACAUUGCGCCCUCUGGUAUUCCGGAGGGCAUGCCUGUUUGAGCGUCGUUUCUCCCUCAAACCGCUGGGUUUGGUGUUGAGCAAUACGACUUGGGUUUGCUUGAAAGACGGUAGUGGUAAGGCGGGAUCGCUUUGACAAUGGCUUAGGUCUAACCAAAAACAUUGCUUGCGGCGGUAACGUCUACCACGUAUAUCUUCAAACUUUGACCUCAAAUCAGGUAGGACUACCCGCUGAACUUAAGCAUAUCAAUAAGACGGAGGAA